RNAcentral lists this ribosomal RNA (253 nucleotides) under uncultured bacterium. Its description in RNAcentral is "partial 16S ribosomal RNA". It matches the Rfam family "Bacterial small subunit ribosomal RNA", at positions 524 to 776 of the family's 1533-position model. The record is from RNAcentral.
UACGAAGGGGGCUAGCGUUGUUCGGAAUCACUGGGCGUAAAGCGCACGUAGGCGGAUUUUUAAGUCAGGGGUGAAAUCCCGAGGCUCAACCUUGGAACUGCCUUUGAUACUGGAGAUCUUGAGUCCGGAAGAGGUAAGUGGAACUGCGAGUGUAGAGGUGAAAUUCGUAGAUAUUCGCAAGAACGCCAGUGUCGAAGGCGGCUUACUGGUCCGGAACUGACGCUGAGGUGCGAAAGCGUGGGGAGCAAACAGG